Molecule: ribosomal RNA, 325 nt
Filed under: uncultured eukaryote
Lineage: Eukaryota
Description: partial 18S ribosomal RNA
Rfam family: Eukaryotic small subunit ribosomal RNA
Source: RNAcentral
CCCUUAGAUGUUCUGGGCCGCACGCGCGCUACACUGAUGCAUUCAACGAGCCUAUCCUUGACCGACAGGUCCGGGUAAUCUUUGAAUCUGCAUCGUGACGGGGGUAGAUUAUUGCAAUUAUUAAUCUUCAACGAGGAAUGCCUAGUAGGCGCAAGUCAUCAGCUUGCGUCGAUUACGUCCCUGCCCUUUGUACACACCGCCCGUCGCUCCUACCGAUUGGGUGUGCUGGUGAAAUGUUCGGAUCGGCCGUUUGUCGCGGUUUCCGCGGCUCGUGGCUGAGAAGUUCAUUAAACCCUCCCACCUAGAGGAAGGAGAAGUCGUAACA